Molecule: ribosomal RNA, 253 nt
Filed under: uncultured bacterium
Lineage: Bacteria
Description: partial 16S ribosomal RNA
Rfam family: Bacterial small subunit ribosomal RNA
Source: RNAcentral
UACGUAGGGUGCGAGCGUUAAUCGGAAUUACUGGGCGUAAAGCGUGCGCAGGCGGUUUUGUAAGCCGGAGGUGAAAUCCCCGGGCUUAACCUGGGAACUGCGUUUGAAACUACGGAGCUAGAGUGCGGCAGAGGGGGGUGGAAUUCCACGUGUAGCAGUGAAAUGCGUAGAUAUGUGGAGGAACACCGAUGGCGAAGGCAGCCCCCUGGGCCGACACUGACGCUCAGGCACGAAAGCGUGGGGAGCAAACAGG